UACGUAGGUGGCAAGCGUUGUCCGGAUUUACUGGGCGUAAAGAGCGCGCAGGCGGUCGAUCAAGUCGCGUGUGAAAGCCCCCGGCUCAACUGGGGAGGGUCACGCGAUACUGAUCGACUCGAAGGCAGGAGAGGGUAGUGGAAUUCCCGGUGUAGUGGUGAAAUGCGUAGAUAUCGGGAGGAACACCAGUGGCGAAGGCGACUACCUGGCCUGUUUCUUGACGCUGAGGCGCGAAAGCUAGGGGGGCAAACGGG
This 254-nucleotide ribosomal RNA is filed under the name uncultured bacterium. RNAcentral's name for it is "partial 16S ribosomal RNA". It matches the Rfam family "Bacterial small subunit ribosomal RNA", at positions 524 to 776 of the family's 1533-position model. The record is from RNAcentral.